This 497-nucleotide ribosomal RNA is filed under the name uncultured bacterium. RNAcentral's name for it is "partial 16S ribosomal RNA". It matches the Rfam family "Bacterial small subunit ribosomal RNA", at positions 28 to 507 of the family's 1533-position model. The record is from RNAcentral.
GAUGAACGCUGGCGGCGUGCCUAAUACAUGCAAGUCGAGCGAACAGACGAGGAGCUUGCUCCUUUGACGUUAGCGGCGGACGGGUGAGUAACACGUGGGUAACCUACCUAUAAGACUGGGAUAACUUCGGGAAACCGGAGCUAAUACCGGAUAAUAUUUCGAACCGCAUGGUUCGAUAGUGAAAGAUGGCUUUGCUAUCACUUAUAGAUGGACCUGCGCCGUAUUAGCUAGUUGGUAAGGUAACGGCUUACCAAGGCAACGAUACGUAGCCGACCUGAGAGAGUGAUCGGCCACACUGGAACUGAGACACGGUCCAGACUCCUACGGGAGGCAGCAGUAGGGAAUCUUCCGCAAUAGGCGAAAGCCUGACGGAGCAACGCCGCGUGAGUGAUGACGGUCUUCGGAUCGUAAAACUCUGUUAUUAGGGAAGAACAAACGUGUAAGUAACUGUGCACGUCUUGACGGUACCUAAUCAGAAAGCCACGGCUAACUACGUG